CCUACGGGAGGCAGCAGUAGGGAAUCUUCCUCAAUGGGGGAAACCCUGACGCAGCAACGCCGCGUGGAGGAUGAAGGUUUUCGGAUUGUAAAACUCUUUUGUUAGAGAAGAUAAUGACGGUAUCUAACGAAUAAGCACUGGCCAAUUCCGUGCCAGCAGCCGAGGUAAUACGUCGGGGGCAAGCGUUACUCGGAAUCAAUGGGGGUAAAGCGCGCGUAGGCUGGUUAGCAAGUCAGAUGUGAAAUCCUAUGGCUUAACCAUAGAACUGCAUUUGAAACUGUUAUUCUGGAGUAUGGGAGAGGUAGGUGGAAUUCUUGGUGUAGGGGUAAAAUCCGCAGAGAUCAAGAGGAAUACUCAUUGCGAAGGCGACUUGCUAGAACAUAACUGACGCUGAUGCGCGAAAGCGUGGGGAGCAAACAGGAUUAGAUACCCGAGUAGUC
This 440-nucleotide ribosomal RNA is filed under the name uncultured bacterium. Its description in RNAcentral is "partial 16S ribosomal RNA". It matches the Rfam family "Bacterial small subunit ribosomal RNA", at positions 338 to 795 of the family's 1533-position model. The record is from RNAcentral.